UACGUAGGGCGCAAGCGUUGUCCGGAAUUAUUGGGCGUAAAGAGCUCGUAGGCGGUCUGUCACGUCUGCCGUGAAAACCCGAGGCUUAACCUCGUGGCUUGCGGUGGAUACGGGCAGACUAGAGGUAGGUAGGGGAGAACGGAAUUCCCGGUGUAGCGGUGAAAUGCGCAGAUAUCGGGAGGAACACCGGUGGCGAAGGCGGUUCUCUGGGCCUUACCUGGCGCUGAGGAGCGAAAGCAUGGGGAGCGAACAGG
Molecule: ribosomal RNA, 254 nt
Filed under: uncultured bacterium
Lineage: Bacteria
Description: partial 16S ribosomal RNA
Rfam family: Bacterial small subunit ribosomal RNA
Source: RNAcentral